AAAAUCACUAUAAAAGCAGCAGCAGUGGUGGAAAUAUAUUAGCAUUAAUUAAACGCAGCACCGAAGCAGCCGUAAACAUAACAAAUGUCAGAUGAGUCGUGUUGAGGAGGCAGAUUGUCAAUGUCAAUACUUUAAACAGCUGCAGCAGAAACCAAAGCAAACAACAGCCACCAGGAAGAAACUUCAACACCAACGUCCCAACAUCCCAUUUCACUGGCUACGGUUCAACUAAGAACCGGAGGAGGAGGAAGAGGAGACGCUGCUGCAGGAGCUGAGCUCUGCUCCUCCCUCUGCCUGCAGGUCCAGAGCUGAAGCCGGAUCAGGACCAAACUGAGAGCGGUUCUGUAGAGUCUGCAUGAGUCCUGAUCUCUAAGUGAUUAAUAACUAAUCAAACGUUCCUCACAGUAACGUCUGAUGAACACGAUCCCUUAUGGAGGGAACCAGCAUGCUGAGUCCUCACGUGAUCUGGUCUCCACUAAAGGCUCAAACCUGCAGAGCUGCUGCUGUUCUCACACGUUCUCACCACAACGCUUCCUCUUCACCUCCGAGGAAACAACCACAAGAUGCAAAGAGGAGGAAACUCAUCCUCGGAGCUCCAACACGUCAUCUCUAUGAGCACGACGAGGAAGUGACGCUGUGCAACCAGAGGAAGCAGAAGCUGCAUCUGUGAGGAAGAAGCACUCGGUCAGACGCCUUGAGGAGCAGAGACACCAUGGUGGAACUCAGAGGGACUCAAAGGACUUUAUGUGUGAUGCUGCUGCUGCUUCAGGCUGCAGUAAGAGGACAAACCCCCCCUGACCCCCGCUUCCUCGUCAGAGCCGGAGAUGACGUCACUUUGCCUUCUAAUCAGGACAGAUGUGACGGUUCUACUUGGCUUUACAGUCGUAGUGGAUCAACUGUGGAGCUGGUUACACUUGGGAAGUUUAGAAAUAACGCUUUGAUUCCAGAAGCUAAAACCAACAGACUGAGUUUGACAGCAAACUGUUCUCUGGUUAUAAGAAACGUCUCAGGUGAAGAUGUUGGUCGUUACAUCAACAGACAUUAUGAUGAAACAGAAAAACAACAAGGUCCAGAUGGUGUGGUCUCUCUGUACGUGUUUACAAUGGAGGAAAAGGACUACGGGGGUUCGGUUGAGUUGUCCUGCUUUGUGUUGAGAUCCUCUGAGUGUGAACACACAGUAAAGUGGCUUUAUGACGGCAAACAGACUGAUGUGAUGACGACAUCACACGCUGCUUGUGAAGCUACUGUGACGUUUAAAGCUCCUCUUCAUCAGAAGUCAAAGUAUUAUAAGUCACUGAGAUGUGAAGUGAGAAACAAUCAGAGUGGAAAAACUCUGCUGUUUGAAGCCUGCAGUCAGUUCUCAUGUGAACAAACAGGCUGGUGGAGGUUCAUCAUUCUGGCUGCAGCGACGGUGGUUGUUCUUGUUGUGUUGUUCUUCACAUGGAAGAGAUCUAAAGGGAGAGAAACCCGGAUGGACGUCAACGAAAGUCUCAGGUGUUGCUGCUCACAGGUGCAGCGUGAAGAUGGAGACGAAGGUGCAGUGGUCUAUGAAAACGUUGGAGAACCUUCAGCUUCUGUCAGACUCUGAUCCACAGCUUCUAGAUCCACGCGCAGAGACGGGAGAUCAACCCUGUGACGUCAGUUCCAGUGUUUUAUUUGGCAUUUUAAGAUAAAGGGUUUAUAUUGACAUGUUUUCAUUAAUAGUUUCUCUGACAUUCAAACUUCUUCCUGCUAUGAAAGACACGGUGGAGUGACGUCAUCCACGUGCUCUCAUGAUGAAUUAUGCUCCUUUGAGGUUAAACUUUGUCUCUUUUUCUUCUUCUACAUGUCUGCUGUUUGUCUAACGUGUUUGAUUCACAUUGUUGGGUUUGAACGAGUUGUCAGCCUUAAUAAAGUCGCUUUUAUUGAUGAGAAAUAUGAAACAAAUAAAAUAAGAAUGUGCUUGAUAUGGACUCAUCCGUUGUGUUUUGUUUAAGGGAACCAGUGAAAGUCCAUAUUCUUUAUUUAGGUUCUACUCGAUGACCCAGAAGGUAACGCUGUCCUCACGUUGUUUCUGUCCAGCAGAGACUUUACCUCCAUCGCUCAUUUUAUGCUCCUGCUUCAUCCACAUCGACUCUGAUUCAAAUCCACUUAGAGAAUAAUUUGUUUACAUUUGUUACACCAUUAAAAAAGACUCAGUUGGAGAUUCUCAUUGGUCGAUUCUUCCGCCAAUUUUUCAAAUUAAACACACUAACUGUAUUUAGUAAAAGUCUUUAAUCAUCAUUAUUCAGAAGCCACAAAUUCCUUUAUGGAAGUAAAUCAGUUUUAAACAUUGUUGUUUUUGUGAGCUGGGACUUAAAACCAAAAAGUAACUUUAGCAUUAAUCCAAAAUUAGACUAGGGACACUUUUUAAAUGUGGCACCAGUUAACAGAACGAUGUCAGAGUGAUCACAUGACAUGUGAGCAUGCUUCAUGUUCAGGAAGGAGUCCUGUGAUAAAAC
Molecule: long non-coding RNA, 2480 nt
Organism: Gasterosteus aculeatus aculeatus (three-spined stickleback)
Lineage: Eukaryota; Metazoa; Chordata; Actinopteri; Perciformes; Gasterosteidae
Source: Ensembl